GGGACAGGAAGUGCAACUGAAGGGCCGGUUAAUGAAGACAUCCUCAAGUCCUUGAUGAGAAAUCCCCAGUGCUACAUCUGUUCUCCCAUCUGCACGCAUGAUAAAAAGAUUGUGGUAUAAUGUGGAAGCCCACAGCUGUUAGUUAGUCAUACUGGCUCACCGUUCUUUUUGUAAUGUGGAUGUGCCUUUACAAAUGCCUAAGACAUCUAAGGUGUGGGGAAACUAAGGCACAGAGCUGUGAAAUGAUUUACCCAAGGUCACAAGAAGGGACAUAUCCCCAGCUGGUGUAAAUCCGCAUAGCUUCUUUGACCUUAAUGGCCCAGGGAGUCUGUAGCAGCACUGAGAAUAGAAACAAGGGGAGGACUGAUUCUCUUCUCGCGUCCUCCCAUGUGACUCCAUUGACUUGACUUACGCUGGCAUGGGAGGAGACUUGCACCUCAGUUCUGUUCCUGUCCUGGGCUUUAGUCAUGAGAACAUCCUGGAAGGAGAAACUCCCAGAACCCCCCAGUUCUUGACAAUGGGGACCUUCGCUGGCAGCCUCAGAAGAAAGCUGAGCAAGAGCUGGAGCGUACAUCUGGAGACAGAAUGGCCAGGGCUCCACGUGAUGACAGAUGGGGAUGGUACGGAAAGAGUCGGUGAGCACAGGG
This is a long non-coding RNA of Dermochelys coriacea (leatherback sea turtle), 647 nucleotides long. RefSeq lists it as uncharacterized. NCBI's taxonomy places the organism in Eukaryota, Metazoa, Chordata, Testudines, Dermochelyidae. The record is from RefSeq and is a predicted model, not a curated record. The transcript has 3 exons.